RNAcentral lists this ribosomal RNA (433 nucleotides) under uncultured bacterium. RNAcentral describes it as "partial 16S ribosomal RNA". It matches the Rfam family "Bacterial small subunit ribosomal RNA", at positions 29 to 507 of the family's 1533-position model. The record is from RNAcentral.
AACGAGCGCUGGCGGCAUGCCUAACACAUGCAAGUCGAACGAGACCUUCGGGUCUAGUGGCGCACGGGUGCGUAACGCGUGGGAACCUGCCCUUAGGUUCGGAAUAACUCCCCGAAAGGGGUGCUAAUACCGGAUAAUGUCUUCGGACCAAAGAUUUAUCGCCUUUGGAUGGGCCCGCGUUGGAUUAGCUAGUUGGUAGGGUAAAAGCCUACCAAGGCGACGAUCCAUAGCUGGUCUGAGAGGAUGAUCAGCCACACUGGGACUGAGACACGGCCCAGACUCCUACGGGAGGCAGCAGUGGGGAAUAGUGGACAAUGGGCGAAAGCCUGAUCCAGCAAUGCCGCGUGAGUGAUGAAGGCCUUAGGGUUGUAAAGCUCUUUUACCCGGGAUGAUAAUGACAGUACCGGGAGAAUAAGCUCCGGCUAACUCCGUG